GGGUGUCUAGCUCGGUGGUAGAGUGUGUGCUUAGAGUGCAUGAGGUCCUGGGUUCCACCCCCGGUACAUCCG
RNAcentral lists this transfer RNA (72 nucleotides) under Camelus bactrianus (Bactrian camel). It matches the Rfam family "tRNA". Rfam says of the family: Transfer RNA (tRNA) molecules are approximately 80 nucleotides in length. RNAcentral also lists the same sequence under 2 other names. Lineage: Eukaryota; Metazoa; Chordata; Mammalia; Artiodactyla; Camelidae. The record is from Rfam by way of RNAcentral.